Molecule: long non-coding RNA, 481 nt
Organism: Hypanus sabinus (Atlantic stingray)
Lineage: Eukaryota; Metazoa; Chordata; Chondrichthyes; Myliobatiformes; Dasyatidae
Exons: 4
Source: RefSeq, a predicted model, not a curated record
AUGCCUCCUGCUGACUGCUCCUGUGGCUCCUCCCACAGAGCCCGGUAUAAAGGCGAUCAAGGCCUGAGCCCGGCCUCUCAGUCUCCAGGAUGUAGUAUGGUGGUCACUCACUGUUUGUUCCUUCUUCCAGUCAAUAAAAGCCGAUAUCUCACCUUACGUCUCUGAUGACUUGUGAUGGAUUACCAUUCCCCCUCUGCACAGGUGAAGUGAUGGAUAUUUGUUCUCGCCAGAUAUCGCAGCAGAAAAUGAGGAAGUGUUUGAAAUCUCUUAGGAGCCCUCUCCGCUGCUAUUACAGCUACCCUUACUUAGAAUGUGAAAUUUUGCCUGUUGAAGGAUAAAGGAGUCAUAUUUUGUUCCAUCAUUUUCCUCUUGUGAAAUAAUUCUUUCGGGAAUAAGGAAUCUAUACCCACAUCUGUAAAGACACAAGAAGAAAUUUUGCACUGCUAAAAACUAUGGUGAUGGUUGAAAACUAGCAGCAAGG